This 550-nucleotide ribosomal RNA is filed under the name uncultured marine eukaryote. RNAcentral's name for it is "SSU rRNA". It matches the Rfam family "Eukaryotic small subunit ribosomal RNA", at positions 610 to 1161 of the family's 1831-position model. The record is from RNAcentral.
UUGUUGUGGUUAAAAAGCUCGUAGUUGGAUCUCGGCGGACUGAGGGCGGUUUGCUUGCUAGUAUUACUGCCCUAUAGUCCGUAGUUUUGCCAGAGGUUUCGGGGUGCUCUUAAUCGAGUGUCCCGGGAUGCUGGCAGGUUUACUUUGAAAAAAUUAGAGUGCUCAAAGCAGGCUAUUACGCCUGAAUAUUCGUGCAUGGAAUAAUAGAAUAGGAAGUCGUUUCUAUUUUGUUGGUUUUCGGAAAUCGACUUAAUGAUUAAUAGGGACAGUCGGGGGCAUUUGUAUUCAAACGACAGAGGUGAAAUUCUUGGACCGUUUGAAGACAAACUACUGCGAAAGCAUUUGCCAAGAAUGUUUUCAUUAAUCAAGAACGAAAGUUAAAGGUUCGAAGGCGAUUAGAUACCGCCCUAGUUUUAACCAUAAACGAUGCCAGCUAGCGAUCUGCGGACGUUUUUUUUGUAGACUCCGCAGGAAGCUUCCGGGAAACCAAAGCAUUUGGGUUCCAGGGGAAGUAUGGUUGCAAAGCUGAAACUUAAAGGAAUUGACGGAA